Molecule: long non-coding RNA, 2605 nt
Organism: Ostrea edulis (European flat oyster)
Lineage: Eukaryota; Metazoa; Mollusca; Bivalvia; Ostreida; Ostreidae
Exons: 2
Source: RefSeq, a predicted model, not a curated record
AACAUGACCCACGAACCAUGAAAAAUGGCCUAGCCUGGGAUAUUGAUAAUUUCCGUAUAUAAUAAUCUUCUGGAUAUAGGCUUUCUAGAAAUGUUUUUCUUUUUUUCAUAUAUUCUAUACUUUUUUGUUAAUAUGACGUUGAAUAUUGUGGUAUUUAAUGUUAAAAAAUUAACAUUUCGGGAUACACGUCACAACAAUAAACCUGCAAUGACCAUGUACAAUGUACAUGAACCUAUAAAUCUCUGAAUAUAUCAAGUUAUAUGCACUCAAAUAGCUAGAAUGGCUAAUUCAAUGAUCAUAAUAAGCAUUUUUGACCAAAUAUGGGAAAUAGAAAUAAGAAAUAUUUUGGAAAUGAUGUUCAAAGCCGUGAUUGUUCAACUUUACUUUUAAAUUAUUUUUACUUGAAUUUUGAAAUACUGAAAUAAGAAUAAAUAUAGUAUGUAGUCUAUUUACAUGGUGAAAGAAGUGAAUCAUUGGAACAAUUCUGUUUCAUAUCAUAUUCCAUGGUUUUUGGAUUUUGUUUUGUUUUUUUGGUUGUUUUUUGAGUUUUUUUUGUAUUAAAACGACCGAGUAUCGAUAUCAAUGGUAACGAAAUAAGUUGACACCGCGUCUCGUCAAAACAUGUUCAAUUCGAAUUUACUCGGAAUUACACGGUCAACGAGCAUUUGCUGUGAAACCUGAUUAAAGGAAAAUUACUGUAGACACCUAAUAGUAAGUAUCAAAUGAUCUUUUUUGUUACAUGUACAUGUAGAUUUCAUAGCGUGAAUAAUAACAACACAACACCGAUAUAGGGGAUCAGAGUCAGUAUAUUAUUGACUCUGAAAAUACGAUUUGAGAAAUGAUACUGUAUAAAUUUUACUGUAUUUAUCUUGAUCAAUAAUUGCAUAUUCCUAUACGUAUUAAUAAUGUAAAGAUACUGAGGUCUUUUAACCAACAAUUUUAAAUGCUUGUGCCAGGGCCGUAAAUUACAUGGAGGCGGAGGAGGCAGCUGCCUCCUCCAACUUUUGAGCCAAAAAAAAAAUUAAAAUUUAAAGUUCAUAUAGAAUUUAUGUUGUUUCCAAUAACUAAGAACAUGAUACCUCCCUUAAAAAGCAUUCCAAAUCUUUCUUUUAGAAUGAGUUAGUCAAGUAACAUCUUAGAAGGCCCUAGAAUCAAGGAUUUUGCACGAAACGUGUUCAGUGUGCACAAAAUGUGCUCAACGUCUGGGGGCCUGGGGCCCCAGACCCCCGCCUAAUUUCCUGCCUCCUCCAAAUUGAAGGUUAAUUUACGGCCCUGCAGUGUGCAAUACAUUAUUGACUGACAGAACGUAAUUCAUGAGCUGUGAUCUAAAAAUCUUCCAGACAUUAAUAUAGAUUUGAAUAGAAUUACAUCUAGAUACAUAUUUGAAAUGGAAUAUAUCCUAAGGCACUGUAGUUUUAAAUUGUUUGGAUUAUAUUGCAUUUACAUGUAAUUUAUACAUGCUUGUAAAUGCCACAGAAUGAGAAAUAAUCUAAAUUGGCCUAUUUUCAUAAUGUUCCCAAAAUAGAAGUAUCAUGUAGAUCUAUACAGGAAAUAACAUUUACAAAUCAUGUUUGUUGUUUGUUAUUUGCCAGUUAAGUAUCAUAAUGAUAAUACUAGUAUUUCAUGAUAAGUAAUUAUUAUGCUAAAAUCAAAUACCCUUUUUAUUGUCAACAAAUACAUCACUGGUAGAAAGGUUAUAAAGCUUUUAUCUAGCACAAGUUUCCAUAUUCUACAGGUUUACAUAUGUCAGCAAGUCCUCAAAAGCAGCUUUAGGGGUUCCCAGGAGAUUCUGAUGCUCACUGUUAGACUCUCACUGUUGUCAAAAUCCAACCUUAUUUUCUCUUUUCUCAAAAUUUCAGCUCUCAAAAACUUGUUUGAUUAAUUAUGUCACUCCUGUUUUGUUGAACAUGGUGUUGUCAGCAAUAGGUUCAAGUUCUUCUAUGUCUUGUUGUAGGUGAUUUGUACAGAAGCGAAUGAUGGCCUCUUUUGAAAUUAAGAUUUCAUGCCUUACUCCUACUGGGACUACAACUAACUUUGGACCUGGUCACUCGCAGAUACAGCAUGAAGUGUGCCCUCUUGAUGUACAUGGGGAUGGGAGUGAUACAGAAGGGGGACUAAUUGGAAGAACUGCUACUGCUGGUGGUGGUGCUGGACUGUCUUGAAUCUGUUGCCUAACCGACUUGAUAUUCUUCUGUUUAAUAUGGGAGCAACACACACACUCUGGCAUAUAUUGCACAGAAAAUCAUGAUCAGAUGGUGCCCUCCCUAUCAGAGUGGUGAUCACUGUCCUAUAUUUCUUUGAAAUCCUGGAUCUGUGUUUUGGUUUUACUCUCCAUGGACAGUUGAAACAGAGAAAGAAUUAGGGACCACUCCUUGGCAUAUCUGAAAUAUUUAUGUCAUAUACAUGUAAUUAAAAUAUACAAUUUGGGUUGGAUGAAAAUCUUAUCUUCAUGUUAAAACCCAUUAGCCUAGGUUAUUUUUCCUAAAAUCUAAUUAUAAAUCAAUUAACUUGUUAAUUAAUGCUUGGUGAAUCAAUUAAUAAAUUGUAUUCAAAAACUUGAAAUUAUUUUUUUUCCACUAAUAAACUGAAAAUGUGUAUCUUCAAA